Molecule: ribosomal RNA, 440 nt
Filed under: uncultured bacterium
Lineage: Bacteria
Description: partial 16S ribosomal RNA
Rfam family: Bacterial small subunit ribosomal RNA
Source: RNAcentral
CCUACGGGAGGCAGCAGUGGGGGAUAUUGCACAAUGGGGGAAACCCUGAUGCAGCGACGCCGCGUGUGGGAAGACGGUCCUCUGGAUUGUAAACCACUGUCCCCAGGGACGAAGAUGACGGUACCUGGGGAGGAAGCUCCGGCUAACUACGUGCCAGCAGCCGCGGUAAUACGUAGGGAGCGAGCGUUGUCCGGAAUUACGGGGUGAAAGGGGAGCGUAGGCGGGGAUGCAAGUUGGGUGUCAAAACUACCGGCUAAACUGGUAGUCGCACUCAAAACUGCAGCUCUUGAGUGAAGUAGAGGCAGGCGGAAUUCCUGGUGUAGCAGUGAAAUGCGUAGAUAUUAGGAGGAACACCAGUGGCGAAGGCGACCAGCUGGGCUUUUACUGACGCUGAGGCUCGAAAGUGUGGGGAGCAAACAGGAUUAGAUACCCCAGUAGUC